This is a long non-coding RNA of Mastomys coucha (southern multimammate mouse), 1729 nucleotides long. RefSeq lists it as uncharacterized. The record is from RefSeq and is a predicted model, not a curated record. NCBI's taxonomy places the organism in Eukaryota, Metazoa, Chordata, Mammalia, Rodentia, Muridae. The transcript is spliced from 2 exons.
UGUUAGUACCAUCUUCCCUCACCAACCCUCCGGCAUCUUCUGAAUGUGACUGCUUAAAAUUACAAUCACCUAACAUGACUGAAGACACAGAAAGCCACCAGAUGACUGCAAGGACCAUAAAAUGUCCGAGUUCUGUUCCUUUCUUUACCGUAACUGGAGACAGAGAAAUGAGAAGCCGGGGCUGGGGACGAAGCUUGAUGCCCCCUGCUGGCCACGAAGAGGCACGAGCUACAAUUGCUGUAGAAAGAACUGGAUCGGGCUAAGGAAACUGCAGGCUUCAUCCACAAAGAUGAAAAGAAUCUUGCUUCCCCGAUAAAUACCCAAGAAAACGUGUACAACACACACACACACACACACACACACACACACGAUGCUCAUUAUCAAUCUGCUGAACAUGACUGCUAAAAAUCAAGAUCGUCUCCCAAGACCAGGAAGAAGGCAGGGCUGGACCAUUUAGAUGGAGAAAGACUCGACACCACAACUCGCCCACAGCAUUGUUUUAGCUAUCUAACAGUGUGUUACGUGAAAGUUUAUACCUAAUUUCUUACCAGAUUUUCAUAAUUUAUUUACGGGAUCUUAGGCAAACGACCCUAGGGUUAGUCUGUAUAAAAUAUCCCUCGGUGACAGGAAGGUGAAGGAUGGCAGAAAAUACAAUGUCAUCGUUGUUAAAUAACUGAGAUGCGGCUUCAGCGAUGACAACUGUCUCCCAAAACUCAUGUGAUUAAUUACAUUAAACGACAUUCUGAACUAUAAGCUGGUUAAAAAAAAAAUGGAACAGCAGCUGUCAAUUAUGGCGUAUUUAUAGAAAACACAUUUACCUCUUCCGUCAGACUGAAUCACAACUGCUAUUUUGUGCUCUUGCUCUUACCUGAGCUGUACCCAAACAGUUGUUAUUCAGAUGCCCUCACAGGCAAAGGCCACAAAACACGAGGGAGGGGCUCGGGCCCAGAAAAGGCUCACUCUUCAAGCAUGGAAAAUUCAGGAAACUAGGUGUAAAAAGUAAUGUCAGGCAUUGUGACACACACUUCUCCAUGGCGAUCAGCAAGCUUUUUACAAAGUCCACGUUCCAGUCAGGCCAUCUAUAACUGUUCCUGCCAGCCUGAUCAAGAUCAUUGAUAAUGGGCUGUUUGUUAGAAAUGACUUUUUAAAACAUGUGCACUCAGUAAUAAUCUCUCUCUAGUCAUAGAAGCAAUGCUCAGAUUUGAGGUGGUAACCCCUGACCAUGUUAAAUGAAGUUUGUAAAGACGGAGCUAACCUUUCACUCCUAGAGAUGGCCCCUGGGGCUUGAUCAUCGACCCUGAGGUUUCUUGUUGUGUAAUCUCAACCUCGAGGGCAUCGAAAUCUCAACUCAGAUCCUCUCAUGGGUUAGGGAAUCCUUCAUGCAGGUGCAAGCAGAACACAAACACUUUGGUGCUACUGAGGAAUGAAUUAUGUAAACACUUUACAUCAGCUUGUUAGCUAAGAGUAUGUGUUCACUUUUGUUCCAUUGUAGGAACUGUGGUCCUGCUUUCUUUUAUAAACUGAUACUGAAGCUGUUGAGAUACAACUACUAAUCUAGCUAAUAUAACCAUGUCUAACCACUAAUAGACCUGUUUAUCUGCCAAAAAUUACCUAGAAUUGGUCUUGAACGGAUCACCUCAUUCUCCUCUAGCCACUUACUAUGUGAGUGAACUUAUGCAAGCUGCAUGUCCCUGCACCUCAACCACAGAUCUAUAAAAUUAGGAUGAAU